GACGAACGCUGGCGGCGGGCUUAACACAUGCAAGUCGAACGGAAAGACCCUGCGUUUGUGGGGUGACGGGUGGGGAAUGGGGGGAGGAAGAGGUGAGUAACCGGCCCUUGACUUUGGGGGAGGUUCAGGAAGCGGGGGUUAAUCUCGUAUAGGAGACCCUGUACGAGGGAGGGGGGGGGAAAGUUUCGGCGGUUGGGGAUGGACGAGCGGCUGACCAGCUUGUUGGUGGGGUAGCGGCUGACCAAGGCAUGGACGGGUAGCCGGCCUGGGAGGGUGACCGGCCACAUUGCGACUGCGAUACGGCCCAGACUCCUACGGGAGGCAGCAGUGGGGAAUAUUGCCCAACGGGCGGAAGUCUGAUACAGCAACGCCGCGUGCGUGAUGCCGGCCUUCGGGUUGUAAACCGCUUUCGCCUGUGACGAAGCGUGAGUGACGGUACUGGGUAAAGAAGCACCGGCUAACUACGUG
RNAcentral lists this ribosomal RNA (468 nucleotides) under uncultured bacterium. Its description in RNAcentral is "partial 16S ribosomal RNA". It matches the Rfam family "Bacterial small subunit ribosomal RNA", at positions 28 to 507 of the family's 1533-position model. The record is from RNAcentral.